CAGCAGCCGCGGGAAUACGUAGGUGGCAAGCGUUGUCCGGAAUUAUUGGGCGUAAAGCGCGCGCAGGCGGAUCAGUUAGUCUGUCUUAAAGGUUCGGGGCUUAACCCCGUGAUGGGAUGGAAGUUGCUGAUCUAGAGUAUCGGAGAGGAAAGUGGAAUUCCUAGUGUAGCGGUGAAAUGCGUAGAUAUUAGGAAGAACACCAGUGGCGAAGGCGACUUUCUGGACGAAAACUGACGCUGAGGCGCGAAAGCCAGGGGAGCGAACGGGAUUAGAUACCCGAGUAGUCCCUGUCUCUUAUACA
RNAcentral lists this ribosomal RNA (301 nucleotides) under uncultured bacterium. RNAcentral describes it as "partial 16S ribosomal RNA". It matches the Rfam family "Bacterial small subunit ribosomal RNA", at positions 509 to 809 of the family's 1533-position model. The record is from RNAcentral.